UCCGACUUAACGUCGGCAGUCUCGCCAGAGUGCUCAGCUUUCCUGUUAGCAACUGACGACAGAGGUUGCGCUCGUUGCGGGACUUAACCCAACAUCUCACGACACGAGCUGACGACAGCCAUGCAGCACCGUCUCACAGAUUCUCCGAAGAGCACCCCUCCAUCUCUGGAAGGUUCCUGUGGAUUUAACCCAGGUAAGGUUCUUCGCGUUGCGUCGAAUUGAACCACAUGCUCCACCGCUUGUGCGGGCCCCCGUCAAUUCCUUUGAGUUUCAGCCUUGCGACUGUACUCCCCAGGCGGGGCACUUACUGCGUUAGCGACGGCACCGAGGAUUACUCCCCGACACCUAGUGAACAUCGUUUAGGGCGUGGAGUAC
RNAcentral lists this unclassified non-coding RNA (375 nucleotides) under uncultured Kofleriaceae bacterium. RNAcentral's name for it is "contains 16S-23S intergenic spacer region". Lineage: Bacteria; Pseudomonadati; Myxococcota; Haliangiales; Kofleriaceae. The record is from RNAcentral.